Hylaeus volcanicus is the source of this 469-nucleotide long non-coding RNA. RefSeq lists it as uncharacterized. NCBI's taxonomy places the organism in Eukaryota, Metazoa, Arthropoda, Insecta, Hymenoptera, Colletidae. The record is from RefSeq and is a predicted model, not a curated record. The transcript is spliced from 5 exons.
GUUCCAUCUUCUUGUAUUAAAAUAUCGAGGACUGGUGUGAUGUUAUCGUUUUGUAAUAUGCGAUGUUGAUGAUCCAUGACGUGGAAAGGAAAUUUUUCAGUUUCAUGAGAUGUUUUACAAUAGUGUUCAAUGUACCCAACAAAAUCGACGCCAACCUCUUUAAAUAUCUACAGUCGUUAUACAAUUUAUAAGUUAUGCCUUCUUCUGGAUCAAGCAUUUGUUCCUCACACACAUCGUGAUAUAAAGAAAACAAUUCUUCAAAGCAGUAGCAAAAACAAUACAUGGCAUGUACAUAACUUACAGUAAGGUUCCUUGAAAACCAUGAUGGGUCAUUAAAGGAAUUUCGCCUCUACGCAGAAUAUGACAUGAAUUCGUAACUAAAGACAGACAUCAUCUUCAUACACGCUUGCGAUAGAAACACUGUUACUGGUAGUUUCUGCUCGUGGUGAAUGAAUGGUGUCUCUAAACA